This 492-nucleotide ribosomal RNA is filed under the name uncultured bacterium. Its description in RNAcentral is "partial 16S ribosomal RNA". It matches the Rfam family "Bacterial small subunit ribosomal RNA", at positions 29 to 507 of the family's 1533-position model. The record is from RNAcentral.
AGUGAACGCUGGCGGUAGGCCUAACACAUGCAAGUCGAACGGCAGCACAGUAAGAGCUUGCUCUUACGGGUGGCGAGUGGCGGACGGGUGAGGAAUACAUCGGAAUCUACUUUUUCGUGGGGGAUAACGUAGGGAAACUUACGCUAAUACCGCAUACGACCUACGGGUGAAAGCAGGGGAUCUUCGGACCUUGCGCGAUUGAAUGAGCCGAUGUCGGAUUAGCUAGUUGGCGGGGUAGAGGCCCACCAAGGCGACGAUCCGUAGCUGGUCUGAGAGGAUGAUCAGCCACACUGGAACUGAGACACGGUCCAGACUCCUACGGGAGGCAGCAGUGGGGAAUAUUGGACAAUGGGCGCAAGCCUGAUCCAGCCAUACCGCGUGGGUGAAGAAGGCCUUCGGGUUGUAAAGCCCCUUUGUUGGGAAAGAAAAGCAGCAGGUUAAUACCCCGCUGUUCUGACGGUACCCAAAGAAUAAGCACCGGCUAACUUCGUG